Molecule: unclassified non-coding RNA, 240 nt
Filed under: soil metagenome
Description: partial contains 5.8S ribosomal RNA, internal transcribed spacer 2, and large subunit ribosomal RNA
Source: RNAcentral
AACUGAUACUACCUGCGGGAACCUGCGGAAGGAUCAUUAAAGAGAAAACUGCCCUUUGGGUAGAUUUCCCACCCUUUGUUUACUUUACCUUUGUUGCUUUGGCAGGCCCGUCUUCUGACCACCGGCUUCUAGCUGGUCCGUGCCUGCCAGAGGACCCCCAACUCUUGAUUUUAAGUUGUCCGAGUCUUAUAUAAUAGUAAAAACUUUCAGCAACGGAUCUCUAGAUCGGAAGAGCACACG